This 378-nucleotide unclassified non-coding RNA is filed under the name plant metagenome. RNAcentral's name for it is "partial contains 5.8S ribosomal RNA, internal transcribed spacer 2, and large subunit ribosomal RNA". The stretch from base 1 to 105 matches the Rfam family "5.8S ribosomal RNA", at positions 50 to 154 of the family's 154-position model. The record is from RNAcentral.
GAAAUGCGAUAAGUAAUGUGAAUUGCAGAAUUCAGUGAAUCAUCGAAUCUUUGAACGCACCUUGCGCUCCUUGGUAUUCCUUGGAGCAUGCCUGUUUGAGUAUCAUGAAAUCUUCAAAGUAAAUCUUUUGUUAACUCAAUUGGUUUCUACUUUGGUAUUGGAGGUCUUUGCAGCUUCACACCUGCUCCUCUUUGUUCAUUAGCUGGAUCUCAGUGUUAUGCUUGGUUCCACUCGGCGUGAUAAGUUAUCUAUCGCUGAGGACACUGUAAAAGGUGGCCAAGGUAAAUGCAGAUGAACCGCUUCUAAUAGUCCAUUGACUUGGACAAUACUUUUAUGACCUGAUCUCAAAUCAGGUAGGACUACCCGCUGAACUUAAGC